GCAGGGCCUCACCUAGGAAAUUUGAGUGU
Molecule: non-coding RNA, 29 nt
Filed under: Mus musculus (house mouse)
Lineage: Eukaryota; Metazoa; Chordata; Mammalia; Rodentia; Muridae
Source: RNAcentral